UGGGGAAUUUUGGACAGUGGGGGCAACCCUGAUCCAGCCAUCCCGCGUGUGCGAUGAAGGCCUUCGGGUUGUAAAGCACUUUUGGCAGGGAAGAAACAGCCUGGGAUAAUACCCCGGGCGACUGACGGUACCUGCAGAAUAAGCACCGGCUAACUACGUGCCAGCAGCCGCGGUAAUACGUAGGGUGCAAGCGUUAAUCGGAAUUACUGGGCGUAAAGCGUGCGCAGGCGGUUCGGAAAGAAAGGUGUGAAAUCCCAGGGCUUAACCUUGGAACUGCACUUUUAACUACCGAGCUAGAGUACGUCAGAGGGGGGUAGAAUUCCACGUGUAGCAGUGAAAAUGCGUAGAGAUGUGGAGGAAUACCGAUGGCGAAGGCAGCCCCCUGGGAUGAUACUGACGCUCAUGCACGAAAGCGUGGGGAGCAAACAGGAUUAGAUACCCUGGUAGUCCACGCCCUAAAACGAUGUCAACUAGCUGUUGGGGGUUUAUUAACCUUAGUAGCGCAGCUAACGCAUUAAGCGCCCCGCCUGGGGAGUACGG
Molecule: ribosomal RNA, 540 nt
Filed under: uncultured bacterium
Lineage: Bacteria
Description: partial 16S ribosomal RNA
Rfam family: Bacterial small subunit ribosomal RNA
Source: RNAcentral